CCUACGGGUGGCAGCAGUGAGGAAUAUUGGUCAAUGGGCGCGAGCCUGAACCAGCCAAGUCGCGUGAGGGAUGACUGCCCUACGGAUUGUAAACCUCUUUUGUAAAGGAAUAAAGUGAGGCACGUGUGCCUUUUUGUGUGUACUUUAUGAAUAAGGAUCGGCUAACUCCGUGCCAGCAGCCGCGGUAAUACGGAGGAUCCGAGCGUUAUCCGGAUUUAUUGGGUUUAAAGGGAGCGUAGAUGGGUUGUUAAGUCAGUUGUGAAAGUUUGCGGCUCAACCGUAAAACUGCAAUUGAUACUGGCAGUCUUGAGUACAGUAGAGGUAGGCGGAAUGCGCGGUGUAGCGGCGAAAUGCAUAGAUAUCACGAAGAACUCCGAUUGCGAAGGCAGCAUACUAAACUCCCACUGACAUUGAUGCACGAAAGUGUGGGUAUCAAACAGGAUUAGAUACCCGUGUAGUC
RNAcentral lists this ribosomal RNA (460 nucleotides) under uncultured bacterium. RNAcentral's name for it is "partial 16S ribosomal RNA". It matches the Rfam family "Bacterial small subunit ribosomal RNA", at positions 338 to 795 of the family's 1533-position model. The record is from RNAcentral.